This 1467-nucleotide long non-coding RNA is filed under the name Anas platyrhynchos platyrhynchos (common mallard). RNAcentral describes it as "lncRNA (ENSAPLG00000026924.1)". The record is from RNAcentral. Lineage: Eukaryota; Metazoa; Chordata; Aves; Anseriformes; Anatidae.
CCAAACGCCUGUCGCUGAAUUCAGCCCGAGUUUUUGGAGGUGCCGGACUCCUCCGGUUCCUCUCCCUUUCUGAGCAGUCCCUGGCGGCUCAGCAAUUCUGCGCUGUAUUUUUCCAAAUCGGGUCAUUAUGCUCCCUUCUGCUUGAAAUAUCCCAGCUCCCAGCUUUCAAACUCUUUGAAUAAUUCAUCUCCGCUCAGAGCGCCUCAGGAGUUGCGGGAUGCUAAAAAAGAGGCUGGAGAUGGGAGGCUGAGAUCAAAAGCAGACAGCUUGGAGGUGUGGAGACCCUCUGCCCCUGCCUGGGCACCCACAGCCUCGUCGCACGCUGGGUCCCCCAUGCUCUGUGAUGCCUGGAACAUCACGCACACCCCUCUCUGACCCAGUGGUGCUGCCCAGUUCUGAUUUGGGGUGGAUUUGGGGAAGUCCCUGGCUUGGGACGCGCAGCAGUGCCGGUGCUGGCAGAGCUGCUGGCGAGAGCAGCUUCGGGGACAUGUCAGCAGACACAGGGGUGGCUUGCUGAGGCGGGGAGGGCUGGAGGGUGCCUGGAGAGCUUUCCUCGCAGCCCGCAAGCCCCCAGCUCUUCCCUAGCAAUGCCAGAUUUCCUUCUCCGUGCCAGGAAAGCGGGCAGCAAUCUGGUGAGGCCUGGAGCAGCGCUCUGCACCAAGCAGAGUGCCGGUGCCUCCAUUUCCUCAGCUAUAAAAUGGGAAGAAAAGUCUUGAAUGCUUGCAAAGAGCACAUUCGAGGGAGGCCGAUGCAGUAACAGCACCCUGAAAAUGGGGGUGCUCUGCACCGCAGCCCCGGCUGCUCUCACCCACUCUGUCUCCGUGCCCAGGUACCGGGGCUGGCUGGUUCGACGCCUCUGCGGCUUCCUGGCUGUCUGGGACUGGAAGGUGCCCGCCGACACCCCCAGGGACCUCCCGGAGAGAGUCUGCCGCAGCCGCAGGGUACGGGACGUCGCUGCCAGGCAGGCCCGUGGCUCGGGGGGGAACAGCGAGUCCCGCCAGGGGUGGAAGGAGAAAGUCCUAGAGAUCCUGGCUGGGAUCCAGGCCCCGCUCUCCCUCCCCGUGCUCAGGUGGGUGCGGGGCCGUGCGGCUGCUCCCAGCCCCAGCUUGGCCAUUCCCAGUCCCGCUCCUCCGCUCCAGCUCCCUCCUGCUCUUCAGGUGGGGCAUGGAGCCCCUUGCAAGGGGGGAUUGCUCCUUGGGGUCUCGCAUGGCCUCCUAGGGAUAUUUCCCCCUCUGCAGAGCUGGAAUACAAAAUGCUGGAGUGGUGGUGGCGGGGGGAGCCACACCAGGGGGGUGGAAAUCAAAGCAAAGCAAAGGAAAAUUUCUCCUUUUUCUCCCCCCCCCCUUUUUUUUUUUCCUUUUACCUCCUGUCAUUGAGAAAUUGGCAAUUAAAGGUUGCAUUGUACCCUAAUUGCUCGUCUGAUUGAGCUGUAAUAAAAGAACCUUCUGAGCAGUCUGAAGUAUUUAA